UACGUAGGGGGCAAGCGUUGUCCGGAAUCAUUGGGCGUAAAGCGCGUGUAGGCGGUUCGGUAAGUCUGCUGUGAAAGUCCAGGGCUCAACCCUGGGAUGCCGGUGGAUACUGUCGAACUAGAGUACGGAAGGGGCGAGUGGAAUUCCCGGUGUAGCGGUGAAAUGCGCAGAUAUCAGGAGGAACACCGGUGGCGAAGACGGUUCUCUGGGCAUUACCUGACGCUGAGGAGCGAAAGUGUGGGGAGCGAACAGG
Molecule: ribosomal RNA, 253 nt
Filed under: uncultured bacterium
Lineage: Bacteria
Description: partial 16S ribosomal RNA
Rfam family: Bacterial small subunit ribosomal RNA
Source: RNAcentral